CAUUGACUGGAACGCGCCCCAGGCGCACCCAGAAACCCUUUGUGAACUUAUACCUUACUGUUGCCUCGGCGCAUGCCGGCCCCCAGGGGCCCCUCGGAGACGAGGAGCAGGCACGCCGGCGGCCAACCUAACUCUUGUUUUUACACUGAAACUCUGAGAAAAAAAACAAAAUGAAUCAAAACUUUCAACAACGGAUCUCUUGGUUCUGGCAUCGAUGAAGAACGCAGCGAAAUGCGAUAAGUAAUGUGAAUUGCAGAAUUCAGUGAAUCAUCGAAUCUUUGAACGCACAUUGCGCCCUCCGGUAUUCCGGAGGGCAUGCCUGUUCGAGCGUCAUUUCAACCCUCAAGCACUGCUUGGUGUUGGGGCACUGCUCCUCUCGCGGGGAGCAGGCCCUGAAAUUCAGUGGCGAGCUCGCCAGGACCCCGAGCGCAGUAGUUAAACCCUCGCUCUGGAAGGCCCUGGCGGUGCCCUGCCGUUAAACCCCCAACUCUUGAAAAUUUGACCUCGGAUCAGGUAGGAAUACCCGCUGAACUUAAGCAUAUCAAUAAGCGGAGGA
Molecule: ribosomal RNA, 556 nt
Filed under: Diaporthe sp.
Lineage: Eukaryota; Fungi; Ascomycota; Sordariomycetes; Diaporthales; Diaporthaceae
Description: eukaryotic LSU rRNA
Rfam family: 5.8S ribosomal RNA (bases 180-333)
Source: RNAcentral